RNAcentral lists this transfer RNA (76 nucleotides) under Methylothermaceae bacteria B42. RNAcentral describes it as "tRNA-Gly". It matches the Rfam family "tRNA". From Rfam's summary of the family: Transfer RNA (tRNA) molecules are approximately 80 nucleotides in length. Their secondary structure includes four short double-helical elements and three loops (D, anti-codon, and T loops). RNAcentral also lists the same sequence under 22 other names. The record is from RNAcentral. Lineage: Bacteria; Pseudomonadati; Pseudomonadota; Gammaproteobacteria; Methylococcales; Methylothermaceae.
GCGGGAAUAGCUCAGUUGGUAGAGCACAACCUUGCCAAGGUUGGGGUCGCGGGUUCGAAUCCCGUUUCCCGCUCCA